CGGCGAUGUCCGAAUGGGGAAACCCAGUGCAAUUCGUUGCACUAUCGUUAACUGAAUACAUAGGUUAACGAGGCGAACCGGGGGAACUGAAACAUCUAAGUACCCCGAGGAAAAGAAAUCAACCGAGAUUCCCCCAGUAGCGGCGAGCGAACGGGGAGCAGCCCAGAGUCUGAAUCAGCUUGUGUGUUAGUGGAACGGUCUGGAAAGUCCGACGGUACAGGGUGAUAGUCCCGUACACCAAAAUGCACAGGUUGUGAACUCGAAGAGUAGGGCGGGACACGUGGUAUCCUGUCUGAAUAUGGGGGGACCAUCCUCCAAGGCUAAAUACUCCUGACUGACCGAUAGUGAACCAGUACCGUGAGGGAAAGGCGAAAAGAACCCCGGCGAGGGGAGUGAAAAAGAACCUGAAACCGUGUACGUACAAGCAGUGGGAGCACCUUCGGGUGUGACUGCGUACCUUUUGUAUAAUGGGUCAGCGACUUAUAUUCUGUAGCAAGGUUAACCGUAUAGGGGAGCCGCAGGGAAACCGAGUCUUAACUGGGCGUUAAGUUGCAGGGUAUAGACCCGAAACCCGGUGAUCUAGCCAUGGGCAGGUUGAAGGUUGGGUAACACUAACUGGAGGACCGAACCGACUAAUGUUGAAAAAUUAGCGGAUGACUUGUGGCUGGGGGUGAAAGGCCAAUCAAACCGGGAGAUAGCUGGUUCUCCCCGAAAGCUAUUUAGGUAGCGCCUCGUGAACUCAUCUUCGGGGGUAGAGCACUGUUUCGGCUAGGGGGUCAUCCCGACUUACCAACCCGAUGCAAACUACGAAUACCGAAGAAUGUUAUCACGGGAGACACACGGCGGGUGCUAACGUCCGUCGUGAAGAGGGAAACAACCCAGACCGCCAGCUAAGGUCCCAAAGUCAUGGUUAAGUGGGAAACGAUGUGGGAAGGCACAGACAGCCAGGAUGUUGGCUUAGAAGCAGCCAUCAUUUAAAGAAAGCGUAAUAGCUCACUGGUCGAGUCGGCCUGCGCGGAAGAUGUAACGGGGCUAAACCAUGCACCGAAGCUGCGGCAGCGACACUAUGUGUUGUUGGGUAGGGGAGCGUUCUGUAAGCCUGCGAAGGUGACCUGUGAGGGUUGCUGGAGGUAUCAGAAGUGCGAAUGCUGACAUAAGUAACGAUAAAGCGGGUGAAAAGCCCGCUCGCCGGAAGACCAAGGGUUCCUGUCCAACGUUAAUCGGGGCAGGGUGAGUCGACCCCUAAGGCGAGGCCGAAAGGCGUAGUCGAUGGGAAACAGGUUAAUAUUCCUGUACUUGGUGUUACUGCGAAGGGGGGACGGAGAAGGCUAUGUUAGCCGGGCGACGGUUGUCCCGGUUUAAGCAUGUAGGCUGAUUGUCCAGGCAAAUCCGGAUAAUCAAGGCUGAGGUGUGAUGACGAGGCACUACGGUGCUGAAGUAACAAAUGCCCUGCUUCCAGGAAAAGCCUCUAAGCAUCAGGUAACAUUAAAUCGUACCCCAAACCGACACAGGUGGUCAGGUAGAGAAUACCAAGGCGCUUGAGAGAACUCGGGUGAAGGAACUAGGCAAAAUGGUGCCGUAACUUCGGGAGAAGGCACGCUGGUGUGUAGGUGAAGCCCCUGCGGGUGGAGCUGAGACCAGUCGAAGAUACCAGCUGGCUGCAACUGUUUAUUAAAAACACAGCACUGUGCAAACACGAAAGUGGACGUAUACGGUGUGACGCCUGCCCGGUGCCGGAAGGUUAAUUGAUGGGGUUAUCCGUAAGGAGAAGCUCUUGAUCGAAGCCCCGGUAAACGGCGGCCGUAACUAUAACGGUCCUAAGGUAGCGAAAUUCCUUGUCGGGUAAGUUCCGACCUGCACGAAUGGCGUAAUGAUGGCCAGGCUGUCUCCACCCGAGACUCAGUGAAAUUGAACUCGCUGUGAAGAUGCAGUGUACCCGCGGCAAGACGGAAAGACCCCGUGAACCUUUACUAUAGCUUGACACUGAACAUUGAGCCUUGAUGUGUAGGAUAGGUGGGAGGCUUUGAAGCGUGGACGCCAGUCUGCGUGGAGCCAACCUUGAAAUACCACCCUUUAAUGUUUGAUGUUCUAACGUUGGCCCCUUACCGGGGUUGCGGACAGUGUCUGGUGGGUAGUUUGACUGGGGCGGUCUCCUCCCAAAGCGUAACGGAGGAGCACGAAGGUUAGCUAAUCCUGGUCGGACAUCAGGAGGUUAGUGCAAUGGCAUAAGCUAGCUUGACUGCGAGCGUGACGGCGCGAGCAGGUGCGAAAGCAGGUCAUAGUGAUCCGGUGGUUCUGAAUGGAAGGGCCAUCGCUCAACGGAUAAAAGGUACUCCGGGGAUAACAGGCUGAUACCGCCCAAGAGUUCAUAUCGACGGCGGUGUUUGGCACCUCGAUGUCGGCUCAUCACAUCCUGGGGCUGAAGUAGGUCCCAAGGGUAUGGCUGUUCGCCAUUUAAAGUGGUACGCGAGCUGGGUUUAGAACGUCGUGAGACAGUUCGGUCCCUAUCUGCCGUGGGCGCUGGAGAAUUGAGGGGGGCUGCUCCUAGUACGAGAGGACCGGAGUGGACGCAUCACUGGUGUUCGGGUUGUCAUGCCAAUGGCACUGCCCGGUAGCUAAAUGCGGAAGAGAUAAGUGCUGAAAGCAUCUAAGCACGAAACUUGCCCCGAGAUGAGUUCUCCCUGAGACUUUAAGUCUCCUGAAGGAACGUUGAAGACGACGACGUUGAUAGGCCGGGUGUGUAAGCGCAGCGAUGCGUUGAGCUAACCGGUACUAAUGAACCGUGAGGCUUAACCUU
This 2797-nucleotide ribosomal RNA is filed under the name Klebsiella pneumoniae. RNAcentral describes it as "bacterial LSU rRNA". It matches the Rfam family "Bacterial large subunit ribosomal RNA". The record is from RNAcentral. Lineage: Bacteria; Pseudomonadati; Pseudomonadota; Gammaproteobacteria; Enterobacterales; Enterobacteriaceae.